CGAUUUCUAAAGAUACAAAGCUUAAUGCAAAUGGGUGAAGUGUCACUUUAAAGAUGGGCCAGUACACACUUUAUUUGGACCAACUUGCUCCUCAGAAUCAAAACGGGUGUUUUGUGCUUUAAAUUGUGUACACCCAGUGCAGCUGCAGGUCUCUAGCUAACUCAUGUUAUUACUGUCUUAGUGAAAUAGUCUUGCUGCAAAUAAGUGGGCCGACUAUUACAUACAAUUGUGUCCAUUAAUGCAGAUUGUCUGUUGUUUUUACUACUUUGAGUUAUAAUAAAUGAUGGAGCAAGAUUUGUUUUGCAAACUUUAAUGUUACAUCAGUAAUUCAUGUUACUGCUCGUCUAACAUAUACAAUUAAUGAUACAUUUCCCGCAUGUGCACCGCAAUAAAUUGAAAUUUACACAUCUAUUUGUUGAUGAACAUACACUUGUUAAUUCUGAUGGUGAGGAAUUACAGAGAAACGUUGAAUAACUAGUUCUUCCAAUGUUUCAUCAUCAGACUCACACUCGGAUUGGCUUUAGGAAGCCUCCGGAGCUGAAGUUCAGUCACGUACUGGGCAUUUCAUUUCCAAAAUGCACUGUAAGCGGUAGACAAAUCACAACAGACUGGGCCGUCUGACCAAUCCGUACAGAGUAGGCUUUCGGAAAGGAGCGAUUUAAAGAGACUGAAUCAUCGGACGAGUCGCUUGAGAAUCAGUGAGAAAUGAGGUGAUGAAUGCAUAAUAUGAGAAAAUUAAAGUGUUUUUUAUACCGUUGAUGCAUGUUAACCUGCUAUAGGAGAUCUCCAAAACAAAAUUAGGAACCUUGGAAAUAGCAUAUAGGGGCAUGUUAAUAGGAACACCUGCUCACCUGCUCGUUAAUGCAAAUAUCUAAUUAGCUAAUCACAUGGCAACAACUCAAUGCAUUUAGGCAUGCAGACAUGGUCAAGACGAUCUGCUGAAGUUCAAGAGUCUGAAAGAAAGUCUGCUGAAGUUCAAAAGUCUCAAGAGCUGAAGCCUGAUCCAUUCAUCCAGUGUCGCAGUCACUGACAGGAUGAAGAUGCCGCCUUCUCGCACCAUUGGUUGGUCGGUCAUGAUGCUAUGGAUUCAUAUGUAAGGGAAACGCUUCAGAAGUGGAACCUUGAAACAUUAAUCGACAGAUUUGCAGACACUGCCAGCUGUCAAGGGCUACAAGAUGGUUCGGCCCUCUUAUCAGGAGGCAAAAAAAGCAUUUGUUGAUUUACAGCUUGUUGGAACAAACAUCAUUCAAUAUUUGGAGGAGGAGCAACGGAGGCAAUUCCCUCAUGUCCUGCAGCUUGGAGAUAAAUUCAACUGCUCAAAAGCCUUCGUCAUUGUGGGAGGAGUGGCACUAGCAAGACAGCCUUUUACAAGCUGUGGAUGCAUGCUUUAAAAUAUUUUAUGUUUUAGACAUAGAGUAUCCAAAUCCUGCGGCAUUUGUUUGGCAGUUUCUACAACACAAAAUAUAUUCUGUGCCAGGAGGACUUCCAUCAACUCACUGUCGCCUACUUAGGCAGUUUAUAAUUGGAUAAGCUGGAAAAGCUUUUUUUUUUUUUGUGCGUGUGUGUAUUUGUGUUUUUGUAUUCCAUGUUUCUUAGAACUUAAAACAUAUAAAAAAUAAAGUAAAUAAAUUAAUUUUAGAAUUAAUAUUCUGUGCCUGGAGGAGUUCCCUCAACACUGUCGCCUUAUGAGGCAGUUUAU
Molecule: non-coding RNA, 1699 nt
Organism: Pimephales promelas (fathead minnow)
Lineage: Eukaryota; Metazoa; Chordata; Actinopteri; Cypriniformes; Leuciscidae
Source: RefSeq, a predicted model, not a curated record